RNAcentral lists this ribosomal RNA (730 nucleotides) under uncultured Campylobacter sp. Its description in RNAcentral is "bacterial SSU rRNA". It matches the Rfam family "Bacterial small subunit ribosomal RNA", at positions 28 to 776 of the family's 1533-position model. The record is from RNAcentral. Lineage: Bacteria; Pseudomonadati; Campylobacterota; Epsilonproteobacteria; Campylobacterales; Campylobacteraceae.
AGUGAACGCUGGCGGCGUGCCUAAUACAUGCAAGUCGAACGGAGAUUAAGUAGCUUGCUAUUUAAUCUUAGUGGCGCACGGGUGAGUAAUAUAUAGCUAACUUGCCCAUUACUAAGGGACAACAGUUGGAAACGACUGCUAAUACCUUAUACUCCGUAUCUAUAUAAGUAGAUACGGGAAAGUUUUUCGGUAAUGGAUAGGGCUAUAUCGUAUCAGCUAGUUGGUAAGGUAACGGCUUACCAAGGCUAUGACGCGUAACUGGUCUGAGAGGAUGAUCAGUCACACUGGAACUGAGACACGGUCCAGACUCCUACGGGAGGCAGCAGUAGGGAAUAUUGCUCAAUGGGGGAAACCCUGAAGCAGCAACGCCGCGUGGAGGAUGACACUUUUCGGAGCGUAAACUCCUUUUCUUGGGAAAGAAUUAUGACGGUACCCAAGGAAUAAGCACCGGCUAACUCCGUGCCAGCAGCCGCGGUAAUACGGAGGGUGCAAGCGUUACUCGGAAUCACUGGGCGUAAAGGACGCGUAGGCGGAUUAUCAAGUCUCUUGUGAAAUCUAACGGCUUAACCGUUAAACUGCUUGGGAAACUGAUAAUCUAGAGUAAGGGAGAGGCAGAUGGAAUUCUUGGUGUAGGGGUAAAAUCCGUAGAGAUCAAGAAGAAUACCCAUUGCGAAAGCGAUCUGCUGGAACUUAACUGACGCUAUGCGUGAAAGCGUGGGGAGCAAACAGG